GGGUUGUGAGGUUAAGCGACUAAGCGUACACGGUGGAUGCCCUGGCAGUCAGAGGCGAUGAAGGACGUGCUAAUCUGCGAAAAGCGUCGGUAAGGUGAUAUGAACCGUUAUAGCCGGCGAUGUCCGAAUGGGGAAACCCAGUGCAAUUCGUUGCACUAUCGUUAACUGAAUACAUAGGUUAACGAGGCGAACCGGGGGAACUGAAACAUCUAAGUACCCCGAGGAAAAGAAAUCAACCGAGAUUCCCCCAGUAGCGGCGAGCGAACGGGGAGCAGCCCAGAGUCUGAAUCAGCUUGUGUGUUAGUGGAACGGUCUGGAAAGUCCGACGGUACAGGGUGAUAGUCCCGUACACCAAAAUGCACAGGCUGUGAACUCGAAGAGUAGGGCGGGACACGUGGUAUCCUGUCUGAAUAUGGGGGGACCAUCCUCCAAGGCUAAAUACUCCUGACUGACCGAUAGUGAACCAGUACCGUGAGGGAAAGGCGAAAAGAACCCCGGCGAGGGGAGUGAAAAAGAACCUGAAACCGUGUACGUACAAGCAGUGGGAGCACCUUCGGGUGUGACUGCGUACCUUUUGUAUAAUGGGUCAGCGACUUAUAUUCUGUAGCAAGGUUAACCGUAUAGGGGAGCCGCAGGGAAACCGAGUCUUAACUGGGCGUUAAGUUGCAGGGUAUAGACCCGAAACCCGGUGAUCUAGCCAUGGGCAGGUUGAAGGUUGGGUAACACUAACUGGAGGACCGAACCGACUAAUGUUGAAAAAUUAGCGGAUGACUUGUGGCUGGGGGUGAAAGGCCAAUCAAACCGGGAGAUAGCUGGUUCUCCCCGAAAGCUAUUUAGGUAGCGCCUCGUGAAUUCAUCUUCGGGGGUAGAGCACUGUUUCGGCUAGGGGGUCAUCCCGACUUACCAACCCGAUGCAAACUACGAAUACCGAAGAAUGUUAUCACGGGAGACACACGGCGGGUGCUAACGUCCGUCGUGAAGAGGGAAACAACCCAGACCGCCAGCUAAGGUCCCAAAGUCAUGGUUAAGUGGGAAACGAUGUGGGAAGGCACAGACAGCCAGGAUGUUGGCUUAGAAGCAGCCAUCAUUUAAAGAAAGCGUAAUAGCUCACUGGUCGAGUCGGCCUGCGCGGAAGAUGUAACGGGGCUAAACCAUGCACCGAAGCUGCGGCAGCGACACUAUGUGUUGUUGGGUAGGGGAGCGUUCUGUAAGCCUGCGAAGGUGACCUGUGAGGGUUGCUGGAGGUAUCAGAAGUGCGAAUGCUGACAUAAGUAACGAUAAAGCGGGUGAAAAGCCCGCUCGCCGGAAGACCAAGGGUUCCUGUCCAACGUUAAUCGGGGCAGGGUGAGUCGACCCCUAAGGCGAGGCCGAAAGGCGUAGUCGAUGGGAAACAGGUUAAUAUUCCUGUACUUGGUGUUACUGCGAAGGGGGGACGGAGAAGGCUAUGUUAGCCGGGCGACGGUUGUCCCGGUUUAAGCAUGUAGGCUGGUUGUCCAGGCAAAUCCGGAUAAUCAAGGCUGAGGUGUGAUGACGAGGCACUACGGUGCUGAAGUAACAAAUGCCCUGCUUCCAGGAAAAGCCUCUAAGCAUCAGGUAACAUUAAAUCGUACCCCAAACCGACACAGGUGGUCAGGUAGAGAAUACCAAGGCGCUUGAGAGAACUCGGGUGAAGGAACUAGGCAAAAUGGUGCCGUAACUUCGGGAGAAGGCACGCUGGUGUGUAGGUGAAGUCCCUGCGGAUGGAGCUGAGACCAGUCGAAGAUACCAGCUGGCUGCAACUGUUUAUUAAAAACACAGCACUGUGCAAACACGAAAGUGGACGUAUACGGUGUGACGCCUGCCCGGUGCCGGAAGGUUAAUUGAUGGGGUUAUCCGUAAGGAGAAGCUCUUGAUCGAAGCCCCGGUAAACGGCGGCCGUAACUAUAACGGUCCUAAGGUAGCGAAAUUCCUUGUCGGGUAAGUUCCGACCUGCACGAAUGGCGUAAUGAUGGCCAGGCUGUCUCCACCCGAGACUCAGUGAAAUUGAACUCGCUGUGAAGAUGCAGUGUACCCGCGGCAAGACGGAAAGACCCCGUGAACCUUUACUAUAGCUUGACACUGAACAUUGAGCCUUGAUGUGUAGGAUAGGUGGGAGGCUUUGAAGCGUGGACGCCAGUCUGCGUGGAGCCAACCUUGAAAUACCACCCUUUAAUGUUUGAUGUUCUAACGUUGGCCCCUUACCGGGGUUGCGGACAGUGUCUGGUGGGUAGUUUGACUGGGGCGGUCUCCUCCCAAAGCGUAACGGAGGAGCACGAAGGUUAGCUAAUCCUGGUCGGACAUCAGGAGGUUAGUGCAAUGGCAUAAGCUAGCUUGACUGCGAGCGUGACGGCGCGAGCAGGUGCGAAAGCAGGUCAUAGUGAUCCGGUGGUUCUGAAUGGAAGGGCCAUCGCUCAACGGAUAAAAGGUACUCCGGGGAUAACAGGCUGAUACCGCCCAAGAGUUCAUAUCGACGGCGGUGUUUGGCACCUCGAUGUCGGCUCAUCACAUCCUGGGGCUGAAGUAGGUCCCAAGGGUAUGGCUGUUCGCCAUUUAAAGUGGUACGCGAGCUGGGUUUAGAACGUCGUGAGACAGUUCGGUCCCUAUCUGCCGUGGGCGCUGGAGAAUUGAGGGGGGCUGCUCCUAGUACGAGAGGACCGGAGUGGACGCAUCACUGGUGUUCGGGUUGUCAUGCCAAUGGCACUGCCCGGUAGCUAAAUGCGGAAGAGAUAAGUGCUGAAAGCAUCUAAGCACGAAACUUGCCCCGAGAUGAGUUCUCCCUGAGACUUUAAGUCUCCUGAAGGAACGUUAAAGACGAUGACGUUGAUAGGCCGGGUGUGUAAGCGCAGCGAUGCGUUGAGCUAACCGGUACUAAUGAACCGUGAGGCUUAACCUUACAACGCCGAAG
Molecule: ribosomal RNA, 2923 nt
Filed under: Klebsiella pneumoniae
Lineage: Bacteria; Pseudomonadati; Pseudomonadota; Gammaproteobacteria; Enterobacterales; Enterobacteriaceae
Description: 23S ribosomal RNA
Rfam family: Bacterial large subunit ribosomal RNA
Source: RNAcentral